UGAGGAAUAUUGCACAAUGGGCGCAAGCCUGAUGCAGCGACGCCGCGUGGGUGAUGAAGGUCUUCGGAUCGUAAAGCCCUUUUCUGCGUGACGAGACAGGACGGUAGCGCAGGAAUAAGUCUCGGCUAACUACGUGCCAGCAGCCGCGGUAAAACGUAGGAGACGAACGUUAUCCGGAGUUACUGGGCGUAAAGGGCGUGUAGGCGGUUUGUUAAGUCUGGCGUGAAAGCUCUCGGCUAAACCGGGAGAGGUCGUUGGAUACUGGCGAACUAGAGGAUGGUAGAGGCGUGUGGAAUUCCGGGUGUAGUGGUGAAAUGCGUAGAGAUCCGGAGGAACACCAGUGGCGAAGGCGACACGCUGGGCCAUACCUGACGCUAAAGCGCGACAGCAUGGGGAGCAAACGGGAUUAGAUACCCCGGUAGUCCCUGAGCGGGCUGGCAAGGCGCAU
Molecule: ribosomal RNA, 448 nt
Filed under: uncultured bacterium
Lineage: Bacteria
Description: bacterial SSU rRNA
Rfam family: Bacterial small subunit ribosomal RNA
Source: RNAcentral